Molecule: unclassified non-coding RNA, 323 nt
Filed under: soil metagenome
Description: partial contains 5.8S ribosomal RNA, internal transcribed spacer 2, and large subunit ribosomal RNA
Rfam family: 5.8S ribosomal RNA (bases 1-120)
Source: RNAcentral
GAUGAAGAACGUAGCGAAAUGCGAUACGUAAUGUGAGUUGCAGAAUUCAGUGAAUCAUCGAAUCUUUGAACGCACAUUGCGCCCUGUGGUAUUCCGCAGGGCAUGCCUGUUCGAGCGUCAUUUCAACCCUCAAGCUCUGCUUGGUGUUGGGCCCUGCCCGCUGCGGCCGGCCCUAAAGACAGUGGCGGUGCCGCCUGGCCCUGAGCGUAGUACAUCUCUCGCUCCAGUGCCCGGUGGUAGCCUGCCAGAACCCCAACUCUCGUGGUUGACCUCGGAUCAGGUAGGGAUACCCGCUGAACUUAAGCAUAUCAAUAAGCGGAGGA